CCGACCGCCGCUUGCCAGCCACCCUCCAUACUUGGCAAGAAACCUAUACAUUCCCGAGCUGGCACACUCUCCAGCUCGCUCCUCCCCUGCUCCAGAGGGACACGACGGCAGAAUCCAAUAACAGAGCAAGAACCGAGAGCCACCCUCCGAAGAGACGAGGUGUACUUGGAUCGCCGCUCCAUUGUUGUUAAACAAUAUACUAGGUGCCAGUGGUAGUUUUUUAUUGGCUUGGGGGGGUGUGAGAGCCCGUAUUAUUUUAUCCGGGUGGGGAUAAAGAUGUCGUCGCUGGUGUCCGCUCCGUUCGCCACGGCCACCGGGGCGCGGAAGAAGGCGCGCGCGCCCGCGCCGCUGCACUCGUUCCUGCUCGCCGGCCGGCGGGGGCGGCGCGCGGCGAUACGGUGCGCCGUGGCCGGGAACGGGCUGUUCACGCAGACCAACCCAGACGUGCGCCGCGUGGUGCCGGCGGAGCGCGGCCUGCCGCGGGUCAGGGUGGUCUACGUCGUGCUGGAGGCGCAGUACCAGUCCUCGGUCACCGCGGCCGUGAUGCAGCUCAACGCCGACCCGCGCCGCGCCGCCGAGUUCGAGGUCGUCGGCUACCUGGUCGAGGAGCUGCGGGACGCGGACACGUACGCCGCCUUCUGCGACGACGUGGCCGCCGCCAACGUCUUCAUCGGCUCGCUCAUCUUCGUGGAGGAGCUGGCGCUCAAGGUGCGGGACGCCGUGGCGGCGCACCGGGACCGGAUGGACGCCGUGCUCGUCUUCCCGUCCAUGCCGGAGGUGAUGCGGCUCAACAAGCUCGGCUCCUUCAGCAUGGCGCAGCUGGGCCAGUCCAAGAGCCCCUUCUUCCAGCUCUUCAAGCGCAACAAGAAGGACUCGAGCGGCUUCGCCGACAGCAUGCUCAAGCUGGUGCGCACGCUGCCCAAGGUGCUCAAGUACCUGCCCUCCGACAAGGCGCAGGACGCGCGCCUCUACAUCCUCAGCCUCCAGUUCUGGCUCGGCGGCUCGCCCGACAACCUCCAGAACUUCCUCAAGAUGAUCGCCGUCUCCUACGUGCCGGCCCUCAAGGGCGCCGACAUCACGUACAGCGACCCCGUGCUCUUCCUCGACACCGGCAUCUGGCACCCGCUCGCGCCCGCCAUGUUCGACGACGUCAAGGAGUACCUCAACUGGUACGGCACCCGCCGCGACGCCAACGACAGGCUCAAGAACCCCGAGGCGCCCGUCAUCGGCCUCGUCCUCCAGCGGAGCCACAUUGUCACCGGGGACGACGGCCACUACGUCGCCGUGAUCAUGGAGCUCGAGGCCAGGGGCGCCAAGGUCAUCCCCAUCUUCGCCGGCGGGCUCGACUUCUCCGGCCCCAUCGAGCGCUACCUCGUCGACCCCAUCACCAAGAAGCCGUUCGUGAACGCCGUGGUGUCGCUCACCGGGUUCGCGCUCGUCGGCGGGCCGGCCAGGCAGGACCACCCCAAGGCCAUCGCCUCGCUGAUGAAGCUAGACGUGCCGUACAUCGUCGCGCUGCCGCUCGUGUUCCAGACCACGGAGGAGUGGCUCAACAGCACCUUGGGCCUUCACCCCAUCCAGGUGGCGCUGCAGGUUGCGCUCCCGGAGCUCGACGGCGGCAUGGAGCCCAUCGUGUUCGCCGGCCGGGACCCGAGAUCAGGGAAGUCGCAUGCAUUGCACAAGAGGGUGGAGCAGCUCUGCACUAGAGCGAUCAGAUGGGCAGAACUCAAGAGGAAAACUAAGAUGGACAAGAAACUAGCCAUCACCGUUUUCAGCUUCCCACCAGACAAGGGCAAUGUCGGCACUGCAGCAUACCUGAAUGUCUUCAGUUCCAUCUAUUCUGUCCUCAAGGAUCUCAAGAAGGAUGGCUACAAUGUCGAGGGUCUUCCAGAGACACCUGAAGAACUCAUUGAGGAGGUUAUUCAUGAUAAGGAGGCCCAGUUCAACAGCCCCAACCUCAAUGUUGUUUACCGCAUGAAUGUGCGGGAGUACCAAGCACUCACCCCCUACGCCAACAUGCUGGAGGAGAACUGGGGCAAGCCACCUGGGCAUCUCAACUCUGAUGGUGAGAACCUCCUUGUCUAUGGGAAGCAGUAUGGCAACAUCUUCAUCGGAGUGCAGCCCACUUUUGGCUAUGAAGGUGAUCCAAUGCGGCUUCUGUUCUCAAAGUCUGCCAGCCCUCACCAUGGGUUUGCGGCAUACUACACUUUUGUUGAGAAGAUCUUCAAGGCAGAUGCUGUUCUGCACUUCGGCACACACGGGUCCCUUGAGUUCAUGCCCGGGAAACAAGUUGGAAUGAGUGAUGCAUGCUUCCCUGAUAGUCUGAUUGGUAACAUCCCCAACAUCUACUACUAUGCAGCAAACAACCCUUCAGAGGCAACAGUGGCCAAGCGUCGAAGCUAUGCAAACACCAUAAGCUACCUGACACCACCAGCUGAGAAUGCCGGUCUGUACAAGGGGCUGAAGCAGCUGUCAGAGCUCAUCGCCUCUUACCAGUCACUCAAGGACACGGGCCGUGGCAACCAGAUUGUGAGCUCAAUCAUCAGCACUGCAAAACAGUGUAACCUGGACAAGGAUGUUGACUUGCCCGAUGAAGGCGAGGAGCUCCCAGCCAAUGAGCGUGACCUCGUCGUCGGGAAGGUGUAUGGAAAGCUCAUGGAGAUAGAGUCACGGCUACUGCCAUGUGGUCUGCAUGUGAUAGGUGAGCCACCAACUGCUGUCGAAGCUGUGGCCACAUUGGUGAACAUAGCUGCCCUUGACCGCCCAGAGGAGAACAUAUUCUCGCUGCCCGGCAUUCUUGCUGCGACGGUGGGCAGGACCAUUGAAGAUGUGUACAGGGGUAGCGACAAGGGCAUACUGGCUGAUGUUGAACUCCUGAAGCAGAUCACUGAAGCUUCACGAGGUGCCGUAGGUGCCUUUGUUGAGAAGACUACAAACAGCAAAGGGCAAGUUGUUGAUGUUAAAAGCAAACUCAGUUCCAUCCUUGGCUUUGGUCUCUCAGAGCCAUGGGUGGAGUACCUGUCCCAGACCAAGUUCAUCAGGGCGGACAGAGAUAAGCUGAGGACCUUGUUUGGAUUCUUGGGAGAGUGCCUGAAGCUGAUUGUGGCAGACAAUGAGCUGGGAGCCUUGAAGACUGCCCUUGAGGGAAGCUAUGUUGAGCCUGGCCCUGGUGGUGAUCCCAUCCGUAACCCAAAGGUUCUCCCAACAGGGAAGAACAUCCAUGCUCUCGACCCGCAGUCUAUCCCGACUGCAGCUGCCAUGAAGAGUGCCAAGAUUGUUGUGGAACGUCUGCUGGAGCGGCAAAAGGCUGACAAUGGUGGCAAGUAUCCUGAGACAAUUGCACUUGUCUUGUGGGGCACCGACAACAUCAAGACCUACGGCGAGUCACUGGCCCAGGUGAUGUGGAUGCUUGGUGUGGAGCCGGUUACUGAUGGGCUUGGCCGUGUCAACCGUGUGGAGCCCGUCAGCAUUGAGGAGCUUGGACGCCCUAGGAUUGAUGUCGUCGUCAACUGCUCGGGUGUGUUCAGAGAUCUUUUCAUCAACCAGAUGAAUCUGCUGGACCGGGCAGUAAAGAUGGUUGCUGAACUGGAUGAGCCAAUUGAGAUGAACUAUGUGCGCAAGCAUGCCCAGGAGCAGGCAGAGGAGCUCGGUGUCUCGGUAAGAGAGGCGGCAACAAGGAUCUUCUCAAAUGCAUCAGGCUCUUACUCGUCGAAUGUGAACUUGGCAGUGGAGAAUGCAUCAUGGACAGAUGAGAAGCAGCUCCAGGACAUGUACCUGAGCCGCAAGUCUUUUGCGUUCGACAGUGAUGCUCCAGGGGUAGGCAUGCUAGAGAAACGCAAGACGUUUGAGCUUGCUCUAGCAACAGCAGAUGCCACAUUCCAAAACCUGGACUCGUCGGAGAUCUCACUGACGGAUGUCAGCCACUACUUCGACUCAGACCCGACGAAGCUGGUGCAAGGGCUGCGGAAGGAUGGGCGGGCACCUUCAUCGUACAUAGCAGACACAACCACGGCAAAUGCACAGGUGCGGACAUUGUCGGAGACGGUGCGUCUUGAUGCAAGGACAAAGCUACUGAACCCUAGGUGGUACGAGGGGAUGAUGAAGAGUGGCUAUGAGGGAGUUAGAGAGAUCGAGAAGCGGCUGACAAAUACUGUUGGAUGGAGUGCAACAUCCGGGCAGGUGGACAACUGGGUUUACGAGGAAGCAAAUACCACAUUCAUUGAAGAUGAAGAGAUGAGGAAGAGGCUGAUGGACACCAACCCCAAUUCGUUCAGGAAACUGCUUCAAACCUUCCUAGAAGCAAAUGGCAGGGGCUACUGGGAGACAUCAGAGGAUAACUUGGAAAGGCUCAGGGAGCUCUACUCGGAGGUUGAAGACAAGAUCGAAGGAAUUGACCGGUGAACUCAUUUCACUGAUCAACCAGUUCCAGCAUUUGACCAAGAAGAAAUAUUCUUCUGCCUUGCUGAGUCGAAACUUGUAUAAUUUGUGAUUUAUAAAAGUUGUAACAUGCCAUACAGACCUUUAACAAAGAGGGUGGUUCGUUGUGAAUGUAAAAAGGAAGCAUGAGUAGAAGUUCUUUUUUGGUACUUUGCUGUCACAUGUUCAUCUACAGAUAUAGUAACAGAGAAUGGAGUAUCAUUUUUAACUGUUUUAACAAAGUAACAUUUGAAGUUUAG
Molecule: ribosomal RNA, 4676 nt
Filed under: Triticum aestivum (bread wheat)
Lineage: Eukaryota; Viridiplantae; Streptophyta; Magnoliopsida; Poales; Poaceae
Description: partial small subunit ribosomal RNA
Source: RNAcentral